Molecule: long non-coding RNA, 1514 nt
Organism: Ctenopharyngodon idella (grass carp)
Lineage: Eukaryota; Metazoa; Chordata; Actinopteri; Cypriniformes; Xenocyprididae
Exons: 5
Source: RefSeq, a predicted model, not a curated record
CUGCCUCCUGUAACAGUUAUUUGCAUAAUCCCCCAGGGGUUACUGGGAGAUAUUCAAAUUAGCUUAUCAAAUAUGUUUAAGCGUCCUAAGCCGAGCGCAACAUGUGUUUUUGCUUUGGUUUCUCUCAUCUCGCAGCUGAGCUCAAUCCUGAUGGGCGUUUUGUGGUGUCGGCGUUUGUAAGGCGUCUCAGAGCCGCAUCAGAUGACCUCACACAUCACCUCCAUCAAUGUUCGAAUUCAUUUGAGAAGAGAAAACGAGAUGCUCUGAAAGUUUGUCCAGCGUGAGUCAGGAUGUGUUUCUCAUCGCAGGCUGAUGCUUUCAGAGGAGACAGACGGAGAAACAGGGCCGUGAAGCAGCGGACGCUCAUCUACAGCUGUGAAGAACUGAAGCCAUCUGUGACUCUGAGACACGCCGAUCGCUCCGUCACCGUCCUCACGCUGAAGAAUCACACGCAACAGUUCUGUUAUAGUAACAUCAGUCGGUGAUCACGGGCCGGUUCUGAAGGAGCUUCUCCGAUCCUCCGGUUCAGUCUUUGGCACCGUUUCAGUGGAAAAGAGGCCGAGACCGUCAUCAUCAUCAUCAUCAUCAUCAUCUCUGCUCUGCUUCUGUUCUGCUCUCUGAGGUUUUGAGGUCAUCUGCGCUCUCUUCAUCUCUACCUCUGAUUAAUCACGUUUCUUUGGGUCAGCGGACCUCAUGCGACAGGAUCCUCAGGAUCGCAGUGAUCCUCCGCUUCGUAUUUUCCGUUCCUGGACCCCCAGAUUGCAAAAUCGAUUCCAGCAGCUUCUCGCAGCAGUAAAAGAUCUGCGUGUGACUGCAGUCACUGAUUUGUGUCCAAGCCGCAGGUUUAUUAUGUGCCGAAGUUAAUAUUAUUGAUAUUACGCUCCUUUAGAGAGGAAAGACCCCCGAUCCGUGACAGAUGUCUUUCAUUUGAGGAGCGACGCUCAAUAUCUUCCAUCAUUAUGAAGAGACCUGAAGGCUUCAUCUCGCCUCUGUCUUCUUCUGCUCUCGAGAUGAUCUCGUUUCAUCUCGUUUAUUCUGUUCCCUGAGACUGCUAGUUAAUUGAUAAACUGCUGGUGUGUGUGUUUGACGGUCAUCUGUGUGUGUCUGGUUAGCAGGCUGAGGAACGGCUCACGCUCGCUCUCACAUUACUCUUCAUUUGCGGCGAGUCGAAGUACAGCGCCCUCGCGUCUCCCACGACAAACUGAAAUUUAUUGAGCUGCCCGACUCGUGCUAAUUGAAAGAAAUUGUGUGUCUGUUUGCGUUGCGGACUGUUUGAGGAGUGUGUGAGGUGGCAUGUUACAGCGUGAGGAGCAGCGUGAGCGCCACCUACUGACGGCUGGAGUAACGCCGUUACAUCAGCAGGUACUCAGAAAGAUCACUUUAGCUAGCUGGAAUACAUGUUUUAUUAAUUAUUAAUCAUUAUUAAGAUCAAAAGUUGUAUCUGUUGACAUUCUGAACUAACAUGAACAUUAUCAAAGAUUAAUAAAUACUGUAAAAUUGUAGGCAACACUUUA